UACGGGGGGGGCAAGCGUUGUUCGGAAUUACUGGGCGUAAAGGGCGCGUAGGCGGCCCUCUAAGUCAGACGUGAAAUCCCUCGGCUCAACCGGGGAACUGCGUCUGAUACUGGAGGGCUCGAAUCCGGGAGAGGGAUGUGGAAUUCCAGGUGUAGCGGUGAAAUGCGUAGAUAUCUGGAGGAACACCGGUGGCGAAGGCGGCAUCCUGGACCGGUAUUGACGCUGAGGCGCGAAAGCUAGGGGAGCAAACGGG
This 253-nucleotide ribosomal RNA is filed under the name uncultured bacterium. Its description in RNAcentral is "partial 16S ribosomal RNA". It matches the Rfam family "Bacterial small subunit ribosomal RNA", at positions 524 to 776 of the family's 1533-position model. The record is from RNAcentral.